CAACACAAUGAAUAUUUAUGUCUGUCAGAAAAGUAGACUAGAAUGAAUGAAUAAUUCAUUCAGUAUUUUGUUACGGGAUCGCUUUGAAUUCCCGCAAGAAAAGUUUUUGUUUGGACCCCUUAUAUCGUAACUCCAAGAUAAGGGGUUCAAACAUAAAUAAGGAGAAUUGAAUUUGUCCCAUUAUUUUCCCAUUAAUGUGACUUAUUUGGAGCCCUGAGUGUAAGUGAAUGCAUCAACCUUCAUGCAGCUUGAGCCGAUUCAGUCCGUCAGUGUGUGUCGAUAGUCCAAUCUGGUACAUUCAGGUCAGAACAAAACUAGCCUAUUCAUGUAACGCAUAUGUUAAAUAUUUGAUGACAGAUGAUCAGAUUAUGAUCAUUUCUGCAGCUUUAGCUGCCUCUUAAUAAGCUUAAAACGUUGAGCAGCUUACAGCUAGCAAAUCAGUCAGUUACAAUGGUGAUUGGGUUUUAUGAAAUUAAUUCAUACAUUUGCAAAUUAGGAUUUGCUGCACACACACAGAACACCUCCACAAAGAGCAUAAUCAGAAACAUUUUAUCCUUACAUUUUGCUCUUCGGGAUGCAAAAUGGAGGCGAAAGAUUGAGGUUUUUUUAGGGAUGGCUCAAAGUUGAUUUUAAGGGGUAAGCAACUAUGUAACCACAAAUCAAAUCAGUAUAUAAAAUGCAGAACCUAAGCCCAAUAGCUGCAACAUGAGUGCUGUAUUUCUAUAUGGAGAAACAUAAAUAGCA
Labrus mixtus (cuckoo wrasse) is the source of this 744-nucleotide long non-coding RNA. RefSeq lists it as uncharacterized. NCBI's taxonomy places the organism in Eukaryota, Metazoa, Chordata, Actinopteri, Labriformes, Labridae. The record is from RefSeq and is a predicted model, not a curated record. The transcript has 2 exons.